Molecule: long non-coding RNA, 972 nt
Filed under: Physcomitrium patens
Lineage: Eukaryota; Viridiplantae; Streptophyta; Bryopsida; Funariales; Funariaceae
Description: long non-coding RNA (PPAT_LNC010848)
Source: RNAcentral
UUCGUAUGCGCGUAAAUGUUCAUGUAUGCAGCGUUCUUCAACUUUUGUGGGGAGCGGUUCAAGUCGUUCCCUUUGCCAGUCCUGUCCCCUUUUCAUCAAAUUAGAAACCUUGACAUCGAUUUGAUAUUUCAUUAACCUAAUUCAUGCCUAACUUUAUGAUAUAAUCAAAUUAUAACCUAUUCCUCUUGUUCUUCUAACCUUGUGUGGGCUGAGUUGUGUUGGAGUCUCUCCUUCUGCAACCAAAAGAGUAGUUGUGCAGGGUAGUUGUUUCGAGGGGUGUAGAUCCUUCCUGUUCUAAGGGGAGGCUGGCUGUAAGGCAUGCUCGGUGGUGAUGGGGAUUGAGAUAGUUGACUCUUCUUCCGCCACAUCCUCACUUUGCAAGUGCCAACUCAUCACUUUCUGUUCCGAGCCCUGCCACCCUGUACACGCCACUCCACCAGCCAAGAACCCAGGGGAACAGUGAAAUGACGUGGACGCCAAGUUGAGGGUGGGUGACUAUAACCCCACUGCUGACUGUGUCAUUCCCAUGGCUUCACAGGGCGCCAAGUAGCCCCUUCGCAAUUGUGAUAUAAAAUACUCUUCAUCUCAUUUCUCUCUCUCGUUGCACGCUUUGCAAAUCCCUUCAGGAUUCUGUUUGCUAUAAAGCUGCUAUGCUGUUGACUCAUUUUCUCACUUUCUUUCCUUCUUCCUUUCCAACAGCAACAAUAAUAAUAGUAAUUUUUUAAAAAAUAUAUUUUUGUAUGGUAGCUUGGACCACCAUGAAAAAUCAUAGUGCACUUAGUGGCCAUCAGGGGUAGCAUUGUAAAACAGAUAUUGCUGCUGGAAAAUUUCUGAAGUCCAUGCUUGAUCAUUGAACCUAAUUUAGUUUACAGAGGAAGAAUUUAAAACACUGUAGAUUUAUAAUGUGCCAAUGGGCAUAUAUAUAUAUAUAUAUAUAUAUAUAUAUAUGUUUGAACAAUUGUUUAAUAAAAG